GCAAAUCUCUUAAAGCGUUCUCAGUUCGGAUUGUAGGCUGCAACUCGCCUACAUGAAGUCGGAAUCGCUAGUAAUCGCGGAUCAGCAUGCCGCGGUGAAUACGUUCCCGGGCCUUGUACACACCGCCCGUCACACCAUGAGAGUUUGUAACACCCAAAGCCGGUGGGGUAACCUUUUGGAGCCAGCCGUCUAAGGUGGGACAGAUGAUUGGGGUGAAGUCGUAACAAGGUACC
RNAcentral lists this ribosomal RNA (233 nucleotides) under uncultured bacterium. RNAcentral's name for it is "partial 16S ribosomal RNA". It matches the Rfam family "Bacterial small subunit ribosomal RNA", at positions 1267 to 1500 of the family's 1533-position model. The record is from RNAcentral.